GUGGGGAAUUUUGGACAAUGGGGGCAACCCUGAUCCAGCCAUGCCGCGUGAGUGAAGAAGGCCUUCGGGUUGUAAAGCUCUUUCGGCCGGGAAGAAAUCGCAUAGGCUAAUACCCUGUGUGGAUGACGGUACCGGAAUAAGAAGCACCGGCUAACUACGUGCCAGCAGCCGCGGUAAUACGUAGGGUGCGAGCGUUAAUCGGAAUUACUGGGCGUAAAGCGUGCGCAGGCGGUUUAGUAAGACAGGCGUGAAAUCCCCGGGCUCAACCUGGGAACUGCGCUUGUGACUGCUAAGCUAGAGUACGGCAGAGGGGGGUGGAAUUCCACGUGUAGCAGUGAAAUGCGUAGAGAUGUGGAGGAACACCGAUGGCGAAGGCAGCCCCCUGGGCCGAUACUGACGCUCAUGCACGAAAGCGUGGGUAGCAAACAGGAUUAGAAACCCCAGUAGUCC
This 450-nucleotide ribosomal RNA is filed under the name uncultured bacterium. Its description in RNAcentral is "bacterial SSU rRNA". It matches the Rfam family "Bacterial small subunit ribosomal RNA", at positions 354 to 796 of the family's 1533-position model. The record is from RNAcentral.